RNAcentral lists this ribosomal RNA (274 nucleotides) under uncultured bacterium. RNAcentral describes it as "partial 16S ribosomal RNA". It matches the Rfam family "Bacterial small subunit ribosomal RNA", at positions 523 to 796 of the family's 1533-position model. The record is from RNAcentral.
AUACGGAGGGUGCAAGCGUUACUCGGAAUCACUGGGCGUAAAGCGCGCGCAGGCGGUCUUUUAAGUUGGAUGUGAAAGCCUACGGCUCAACCGUAGAACUGCAUCCAAAACUAUUAGACUAGAGUGUGGGAGAGGAAGAUGGAAUUAGUUGUGUAGGGGUAAAAUCCGUAGAGAUAACUAGGAAUACCAAAAGCGAAGGCAAUCUUCUGGAACACUACUGACGCUGAGGCGCGAAAGCGUGGGGAGCAAACAGGAUUAGAAACCCGGGUAGUCC